GUCCGAAUGAUGUAGAUGGUUAUCAUAUCUGUCUAACACACAGAAUGUCCCAGGUUCGAGUCCUGGUUCGGACA
This is a transfer RNA of Fonticula alba, 74 nucleotides long. It matches the Rfam family "tRNA". From Rfam's summary of the family: Transfer RNA (tRNA) molecules are approximately 80 nucleotides in length. Their secondary structure includes four short double-helical elements and three loops (D, anti-codon, and T loops). Further hydrogen bonds mediate the characteristic L-shaped molecular structure. tRNAs have two regions of fundamental functional importance: the anti-codon, which is responsible for specific mRNA codon recognition, and the 3' end, to which the tRNAs corresponding amino acid is attached (by aminoacyl-tRNA synthetases). tRNAs cope with the degeneracy of the genetic code in two manners: having more than one tRNA (with a specific anti-codon) for a particular amino acid; and 'wobble' base-pairing, i.e. permitting non-standard base-pairing at the 3rd anti-codon position. The record is from Rfam. Lineage: Eukaryota; Rotosphaerida; Fonticulaceae.